GGCAUGUGGCUCAAGUGGUAGCGCACUCGCCUGGCAUGCAUGCGUGAGGCACUGGGUUCGAUUCUCAGCACCA
RNAcentral lists this transfer RNA (73 nucleotides) under Marmota monax (woodchuck). Its description in RNAcentral is "tRNA.Ala". The record is from RNAcentral. Lineage: Eukaryota; Metazoa; Chordata; Mammalia; Rodentia; Sciuridae.